Molecule: small RNA, 243 nt
Filed under: Pteropus vampyrus (large flying fox)
Lineage: Eukaryota; Metazoa; Chordata; Mammalia; Chiroptera; Pteropodidae
Description: 7SK RNA (ENSPVAG00000029979.1)
Rfam family: 7SK RNA (bases 1-188)
About the family: 7SK was discovered as an abundant small nuclear RNA in the mid-70s but a possible function has only recently been suggested. Two independent studies have found that 7SK RNA binds the CDK9/cyclin T complex (known as elongation factor P-TEFb). P-TEFb activates transcription by phosphorylating the C-terminal domain of RNA polymerase II.
Source: RNAcentral
AGAUGUGAGAACAAUUUGGCUGAGACAUCUGUUGCCCCUUUGUUCAUCAGCGUUGAGUACCGAUCUGAUUGGUGAGGCAGAUGUCCUCCUUCCUCCCUCACUGCUCCAUGUGCCCCCCGCCUUCCUGAAGCUGCACACGUGGAAACACUGGCAAACAAACAGGAAGGGAAGCCAUGGUCUUGGGUGAGAUCGUUUAAUGAAAGAGUAGAGAGUAAGAGGAGAGGGAGGCCUGGGACCAAGUUU